Molecule: non-coding RNA, 296 nt
Organism: Cinara cedri
Lineage: Eukaryota; Metazoa; Arthropoda; Insecta; Hemiptera; Aphididae
Source: the annotation of a GenBank genome assembly
AAUACGAUUAAUUUUAUAUGGUUCGGCGUCACAGAGUACCUGCAGCUACGUUUCGUUUAUUAAAUUCAAUUUGGAUUUUAAAUGUACCGCAUAGUGCUUUCGAGGCGGAAGACUGCAGCAGCAUCAGCACCACCUCUGGGCCGCGCGAAGGGAACAGCAUAGGAAUAGGCGAAAGAGGGAGGAGAAGGGGUCGUUGAUGGAAACCGACAGACCGGAAACAUCCGAGGAAAUGGAAACGAGAAACUCAAUAAACGGCUUGUAAAUCGGGGACGGCGUAGAAGUGAAAAAAAAAAAAA